AAUUCAGACAAACUCCGAAUGCCAAUUAAUUUAACUUGGGAGUCAGAACAUGGGUGAUAAGGUCCGUGUUCGAAAGGGAAACAGCCCAGACCACCAGCUAAGGUCCCAAAAUAUAUGUUAAGUGGAAAAGGAUGUGGCGUUGCCCAGACAACUAGGAUGUUGGCUUAGAAGCAGCCAUCAUUUAAAGAGUGCGUAAUAGCUCACUAGUCGAGUGACACUGCGCCGAAAAUGUACCGGGGCUAAACAUAUUACCGAAGCUGUGGAUUGUCCUUUGGACAAUGGUAGGAGAGCGUUCUAAGGGCGUUGAAGCAUGAUCGUAAGGACAUGUGGAGCGCUUAGAAGUGAGAAUGCCGGUGUGAGUAGCGAAAGACGGGUGAGAAUCCCGUCCACCGAUUG
This 396-nucleotide ribosomal RNA is filed under the name Staphylococcus aureus. RNAcentral's name for it is "partial 23S ribosomal RNA". It matches the Rfam family "Bacterial large subunit ribosomal RNA", at positions 942 to 1343 of the family's 2925-position model. The record is from RNAcentral. Lineage: Bacteria; Bacillati; Bacillota; Bacilli; Caryophanales; Staphylococcaceae.